This 497-nucleotide ribosomal RNA is filed under the name uncultured bacterium. RNAcentral's name for it is "partial 16S ribosomal RNA". It matches the Rfam family "Bacterial small subunit ribosomal RNA", at positions 28 to 507 of the family's 1533-position model. The record is from RNAcentral.
GAUGAACGCUGGCGGCGUGCCUAAUACAUGCAAGUCGAGCGAACAGACGAGGAGCUUGCUCCUCUGACGUUAGCGGCGGACGGGUGAGUAACACGUGGAUAACCUACCUAUAAGACUGGGAUAACUUCGGGAAACCAGAGCUAAUACCGGAUAAUAUAUUGAACCGCAUGGUUCAAUAGUGAAAGACGGUUUUGCUGUCAUUUAUAGAUGGAUCCGCGCCGCAUUAGCUAGUUGGUAAGGUAACGGCUUACCAAGGCAACGAUGCGUAGCCGACCUGAGAGGGUGAUCGGCCACACUGGAACUGAGACACGGUCCAGACUCCUACGGGAGGCAGCAGUAGGGAAUCUUCCGCAAUGGGCGAAAGCCUGACGGAGCAACGCCGCGUGAGUGAUGAAGGUCUUCGGAUCGUAAAACUCUGUUAUUAGGGAAGAACAAAUGUGUAAGUAACUAUGCACGUCUUGACGGUACCUAAUCAGAAAGCCACGGCUAACUACGUG